GGGCUUGUACUGGUUUCGACAGGGAUUCUGAAGAUGGAGAAGCUAUCCGUAGGCCGAUGCGUCAAAUCGCAAACUUAAAAUUAAACGCUAACGAUAAUUUCGAAUUAGCUGCAGCCUAAUUGCUGCAUGUCAGUCCCGAGGCACCCGCACCUUGGGAAUCUGGCAUCAACUAUGUGGGAAACGAUAUUAACAAAGCUUUGAGUUAAUAGGCGUAUUAUGAAGCUACUGAACCUGUAAGAGUGUUAGUUCUCGUACAGCAGAGGGAAUGUUAAACAACUGACUAUGAUAGUAGAAGUACAUGGGAUGGGUUUUUGGACGCGAGUUCGAUUCUCGCCAGGUCCA
RNAcentral lists this transfer-messenger RNA (342 nucleotides) under uncultured Clostridium sp. RNAcentral describes it as "transfer-messenger RNA%2C SsrA". It matches the Rfam family "transfer-messenger RNA". From Rfam's summary of the family: Bacterial tmRNA, also known as 10Sa RNA or SsrA, is named for its dual tRNA and mRNA-like properties. Lineage: Bacteria; Bacillati; Bacillota; Clostridia; Eubacteriales; Clostridiaceae. The record is from RNAcentral.